RNAcentral lists this ribosomal RNA (315 nucleotides) under uncultured eukaryote. RNAcentral describes it as "partial 18S ribosomal RNA". It matches the Rfam family "Eukaryotic small subunit ribosomal RNA", at positions 1470 to 1796 of the family's 1831-position model. The record is from RNAcentral.
CCCUUAGACGUUCUGGGCCGCACGCGCGCUACACUGACCAGUGCAACAAGCAUCCGUCCUUGGCCGACAGGCUCGGGCAAUCUUUGAACGCUGGUCGUUAUGGGGAUAGACUUUUGCAAUUUUUGGUCUUCAACGAGGAAUUCCUAGUAAACGCAAGUCAUCAACUUGCAUUGAUUACGUCCCUGCCCUUUGUACACACCGCCCGUCGCACCUACCGAUUGAAUGGUCCGGUGAAGCCUCCGGAUUGGCGCGCACCUCGGUGCCGCCGAGAAGUUGGCUAAACCUUACCAUUUAGAGGAAGGUGAAGUCGUAACA